UGUGCAGGCGGGCUUGUAAGUCAGUGGUGAAAUACUGCCGCUUAACGGUAGAACUGCCAUUGAUACUGCAAGUCUUGAAUAUGGUUGAGGUAGGCGGAAUGUGUUGUGUAGCGGUGAAAUGCAUAGAUAUGACACAGAACGCCGAUUGCGAAGGCAGCUUACUAAGCCAUUAUUGACGCUGAGGCACGAAAGCGUGGGGAGCGAACAGGAUUAGAUACCCUGGUAGUCC
Molecule: ribosomal RNA, 229 nt
Filed under: uncultured bacterium
Lineage: Bacteria
Description: partial 16S ribosomal RNA
Rfam family: Bacterial small subunit ribosomal RNA
Source: RNAcentral